Molecule: ribosomal RNA, 468 nt
Filed under: uncultured bacterium
Lineage: Bacteria
Description: partial 16S ribosomal RNA
Rfam family: Bacterial small subunit ribosomal RNA
Source: RNAcentral
GACGAACGCUGGCGGCGUGCUUAACACAUGCAAGUCGAACGGAAAGGCCCUGCUUUUGUGGGGUGCUCGAGUGGCGAACGGGUGAGUAACACGUGAGUAACCUGCCCUUGACUUUGGGAUAACUUCAGGAAACUGGGGCUAAUACCGGAUAGGAGCUCCUGCUGCAUGGUGGGGGUUGGAAAGUUUCGGCGGUUGGGGAUGGACUCGCGGCUUAUCACCUUGUUGGUGGGGUAGUGGCUUACCAAGGCUUUGACGGGUAGCCGGCCUGAGAGGGUGACCGGCCACAUUGGGACUGAGAUACGGCCCAGACUCCUACGGGAGGCAGCAGUGGGGAAUAUUGCACAAUGGGCGGAAGCCUGAUGCAGCAACGCCGCGUGCGGGAUGACGGCCUUCGGGUUGUAAACCGCUUUCGCCUGUGACGAAGCGUGAGUGACGGUAAUGGGUAAAGAAGCACCGGCUAACUACGUG